This 150-nucleotide ribosomal RNA is filed under the name Pteropus alecto (black flying fox). The record is from RNAcentral. Lineage: Eukaryota; Metazoa; Chordata; Mammalia; Chiroptera; Pteropodidae.
GUCUACGGCCAUGCCACCCUGAACAAGCCCGAUCCCAUCUGAUGCCACCCUGAACAAGCCUGAUCCUAUCUGAUCUUGGAAGCUAAGCAGGGUCGGGACUGGUUAGUACUUGGAUGGGAGACCACCUAGGAAGACCAGGUGCUGCAGGUG